CGGCCGCUCAGCGCGAGGCUGGGGGCCUCGUUUUCCUCCCCGACUCCUCUCGGUGCCCACAGUCUUCUUCUGUCCCAUGCCUCUCCGUCCCCGAGGGGGGCCGGGCCGCCUUGUGACGCCCUCGCGCCGUCCUCGCAGAGUACGUGGCCGAGCACUGGGCAGAGGACACCUUCUUUGGGUACCAGUACCUCAACGGCGUCAACCCCGGCCUGAUCCGCCGCUGCACGCGGAUCCCAGACAAGUUCCCCGUCACAGACGACAUGGUGGCUCCGUUCCUGGGCGAGGGAACGUGCUUGCAAGCGGAGCUGGAGAAGGGGAACAUUUACCUGGCCGACUACCGCAUCAUGGAGGGCAUCCCCACCGUGGAGCUCAGCGGCCGGAAGCAGCACCACUGCGCCCCCCUCUGCCUGCUGCACUUCGGACCCGAGGGCAAGAUGAUGCCCAUCGCCAUCCAGCUCAGCCAGACCCCUGGGCCAGAUUGCCCCAUCUUCCUGCCCAGUGAUUCUGAGUGGGACUGGCUGCUAGCCAAGACGUGGGUACGCUAUGCGGAGUUCUACAGCCACGAGGCCAUCGCCCACCUGCUGGAGACCCACCUCAUUGCUGAGGCCUUCUGCCUGGCCUUGCUGAGGAACCUGCCCAUGUGCCACCCCCUCUACAAGCUCCUCAUCCCCCAUACCCGAUACACCGUCCAGAUCAACAGCAUUGGCCGGGCCGUUCUCCUCAAUGAGGGGGGGCUCUCUGCCAAGGGCAUGUCCCUGGGCGUGGAAGGCUUUGCUGGGGUGAUGGUACGGGCUCUGUCGGAGCUCACCUAUGACAGCCUCUACCUCCCCAAUGACUUUGUGGAGCGUGGGGUCCAGGACCUGCCUG
RNAcentral lists this small RNA (867 nucleotides) under Pan troglodytes (chimpanzee). RNAcentral describes it as "retained intron". The record is from RNAcentral. Lineage: Eukaryota; Metazoa; Chordata; Mammalia; Primates; Hominidae.